CCCUAUGGGGUGCAGCAGGCGGUCGCGUGUGUCAGGUGUGAAAGCCCGAGGCUUAACCUCGGAAUUGCGCCUGAAACUACGUGACUAGAGCAUUGGAGAGGGUAGCGGAAUUCACGGUGUAGCAGUGAAAUGCGUAGAUAUCGUGAGGAACACCAGAGGCGAAGGCGGCUACCUGGACAAUUGCUGACGCUCAGGCACGAAAGCGUGGGGAGCAAAAG
RNAcentral lists this ribosomal RNA (218 nucleotides) under uncultured prokaryote. Its description in RNAcentral is "partial 16S ribosomal RNA". It matches the Rfam family "Bacterial small subunit ribosomal RNA", at positions 561 to 774 of the family's 1533-position model. The record is from RNAcentral.